AGAGUUUGAUCAUGGCUCAGGAUGAACGCUAGCGGCAGGCCUAAUACAUGCAAGUCGAGGGGCAGCGGGGUAGCAAUACCGCCGGCGACCGGCAAACGGGUGCGGAACACGUACGCAACCUUCCUUCAAGAGAUGGAUAGCCCGAAGAAAUUCGGAUUAAUACAUCGUAAAAUCACAGGGUGGCAUCACCUAAUGAUUAAAGAAUUUCGCUUGAAGAUGGGCGUGCGCCUGAUUAGGUAGUUGGUGAGGUAACGGCUCACCAAGCCAACGAUCAGUAACUGGCGUGAGAGCGCGACCAGUCACACGGGCACUGAGACACGGGCCCGACUCCUACGGGAGGCAGCAGUAAGGAAUAUUGGUCAAUGGACGCAAGUCUGAACCAGCCAUGCCGCGUGAAGGAUGAAGGCCCUCUGGGUCGUAAACUUCUUUUAUCUGGGACGAAACCACUUUUUUCUAAGAGUGUUGACGGUACCAGAGGAAUAAGCACCGGCUAACUCCGUGCCAGCAGCCGCGGUAAUACGGAGGGUGCAAGCGUUAUCCGGAUUCGCUGGGUUUAAAGGGUGCGUAGGCGGACUUGUAAGUCCGUGGUGAAAUCUCCAGGCUUAACCUGGAAACUGCCAUGGAUACUAUAAGUCUUGAAUGUUGUGGAGGUUAGCGGAAUAUGUCAUGUAGCGGUGAAAUGCAUAGAUAUGACAUAGAACACCAAUUGCGAAGGCAGCUGGCUACACAAAUAUUGACGCUGAGGCACGAAAGCGUGGGGAUCAAACAGGAUUAGAUACCCUGGUAGUCCACGCCCUAAACGAUGAUUACUCGACAUAUGUGAUACACUAUAUGUGUCUGAGCGAAAGCAUUAAGUAAUCCACCUGGGAAGUACGACCGCAAGGUUGAAACUCAAAGGAAUUGACGGGGUCCGCACAAGCGGUGGAGCAUGUGGUUUAAUUCGAUGAUACGCGAGGAACCUUACCUGGGCUA
RNAcentral lists this ribosomal RNA (972 nucleotides) under uncultured bacterium. RNAcentral's name for it is "bacterial SSU rRNA". It matches the Rfam family "Bacterial small subunit ribosomal RNA", at positions 8 to 982 of the family's 1533-position model. The record is from RNAcentral.